RNAcentral lists this ribosomal RNA (460 nucleotides) under uncultured bacterium. RNAcentral describes it as "partial 16S ribosomal RNA". It matches the Rfam family "Bacterial small subunit ribosomal RNA", at positions 338 to 795 of the family's 1533-position model. The record is from RNAcentral.
CCUACGGGAGGCUGCAGUGAGGAAUAUUGGUCAAUGGACGAGAGUCUGAACCAGCCAAGUAGCGUGAAGGAUGACUGCCCUAUGGGUUGUAAACUUCUUUUAUAUGGGAAUAAAAUGUUCCACGUGUGGGAUUUUGUAUGUACCAUAUGACUAAGGAUCGGCUAACUCCGUGCCAGCAGCCGCGGUAAUACGGAGGAUCCGAGCGUUAUCCGGAUUUAUUGGGUUUAAAGGGAGCGUAGGUGGAUUGUUAAGUCAGUUGUGAAAGUUUGCGGCUCAACCGUAAAAUUGCAGUUGAAACUGGCAGUCUUGAGUACAGUAGAGGUGGGCGGAAUUCGUGGUGUAGCGGUGAAAUGCUUAGAUAUCACGAAGAACUCCGAUUGCGAAGGCAGUUCACUGGACUGCAACUGACACUGAGGCUCGAAAGUGUGGGUAUCAAACAGGAUUAGAUACCCUUGUAGUC